GUGCCCGGCGGCUCUAGAGUGUCUCCCGUGUGGGAGACUCCGCGCCCUCUCGGCGCAGUCUGUUCCCGUGCUCAGUCACCUGCGCAGUAAAAGUUCUUCCUCGCUGUUCAGGUGGAACUUGAUCCGUUUCUGCCUGUUGCCGCUUGUCCCUCUGCCUGGCGCUCCUGAGAGGAGCCUGGCUCCACCCUUCUCUUUCAGACGCUGGUGGGCACCGAUGGGCUCCUCUCUUCUCGAGGAGCUCCAUGUCUCUGUUGUCCUGAGGAGCCCAGAACUGGACUCAGCACGGCAGGUGUGUCCUCACCAGGGCUGAGUACAGGGGCAGGAUCACCUUCCAUGACCUGCUGGCAGUGUUCUUCCCAAUGCCCCCCAGGAUACCAUUGGCAUUCUUGGUCACGAGGACGCACUGCUGGCUCAUGGACAGCUUGUUGUCCCCAGGACCCCCAGGCCCUUCUCUGCAGAGCUGCUCCCCAGCAGGUCAGCCCCAGGCCUGGAUCAGACACACAGGAGCACUGAAGGCGCCCAGCGUGAAUAACAAACACAGUGUUUGUUAUUCCUCCAUCUAUAGUCAAUCAGCAAAAUGAAUGUUGGCCUUCUCUGGUCUCCAUUAGGAACUGUGAGGGGGCACAUACCAUGUGUAAGACACAACUACAGUUAUUUUAACAGUGCUGUGUGCUCCCCAGCUUUGUUGUGGACCAGAGGUUUAGCAAAUAGGUAACACAUUUCUCCGUGACAGAAGGUGUACAUGUAGCAGCAUUGGGGAGGCACAGAGAAGGGAUUGGCCCGAUGCAGGCUGAUACGUGUGCAAGCCCAAAACCCAGGUGGGGUUCUCAGCUCUCAAAAUAAGGUUCGGUAGCUGUAGUUGGAGUACUGUUAUGGUAAAAUAUGCUGGGCUUCAUCUUGUUCAUACAUCUUCUAUGGCUUGUAUGGUAAUGGUUAUAAAUGGACUUGGUAUUUAUUCUUGACUCUUCCUAUACUUGUGUCGAUUAAAAUAUUUAAUACUGAAAAUAUUUGAUGAUAUUCCACACUAAAUAGUUCACAUCUUCUUUAGUCAUCAGUUUUAACAAGCAUGUGAAAGCCUGGUUAAGAAAAUAUAAAAUAAUUCAUUUAAUCCAUUGAUUCAGCUUGUCCUUGGAGAUAUAACCAUAUUUAUUCCAACAAUAAAUUCCAACCAUAAAUUCCAAGAGCUGUUGAUUUCAAGAAUUUUAGAACCAAUGCAUUAGAAAAUGCAUCUUUUUGCAUUCUUGUUUCAGUGACUCAGGUUACCUGGUAUAAUGCAUCCUAUUUUAGAGGAAAAAUCUGAUCAGUUUUUCAAAGCUGUGCCUGCUAGAGCCCUGCCUGGUGGUAGAUGUUUUUGCUGUCCUGGGACUGCACAGCUUUAUAAAAUUUUUUUAUUAAGGCAUUGAUUUUAAAAAAUUACAAGAUUUUGUAAAAGAGGAGAAGGUCAGAAAGGCAUUGGGAAUGAGCAGUUUUGCAUUGCAGCGCAUACUAAAAAAUGGGUGUAAGUACAAAAUGAGACUAUUUGUAAUACUGAAAUUUCAGUUACAUCUCAGCGAGAUAUUUGGUAUUAAACCUUGUGUCAUGGGUCCUUAAGUGGUUCUGCUUUUCAUCAGCUCACAUGACACUGCUUAUUAUUUUUUCUUUUGAACAAAAUUACCUACAACAAAUAGUAUGGUUUCUGGGUUUUCAUUUGGUUUCUUUAAAGUUUAUAUUCAAGUACUAGAAUUUUGCUGUAAGUGUUAGCUGUCCUUUCUUUUCUGCUGAACCAUGUAAAAAAGUCUACUUUGUAAAGGCAGAUGUAAAACCUGUGCAUGUUAGUGUGGUGGCAGCCAAAUGAGCGUUGCAAACUUAAAUCUGGGUGGCACAGUUGAAGCAUUUUAUUCUAAGAUAUUUGUAGACAAAACAUACAACAUCAGAAAGCAGUAACGUGUUGCUGGGUACCAGGAAGUUGUGUUUAAUUAUUACUUUAGUUGGCUGCAAUUGAAAUAACUUACUCCCUUUCCUAAUAGUGAAGAUCUCAGUGCAAGCCAAGCCAUUUUAAUGAUGGACCGAAGACUGAUUUUAAUGAGGGAAUAAAGUGUUUAAGGCUUUAGCAGAGAAUUAGGGAGGAAGGCUAUAACAGGAAAAUAAGGAAGAGCAUUGCAACUUGCUAAUUCCUGGUACAGUAGCAAGGGGCGCAUGAUCUGAGCAAAACAGCAGGAGAAGAAAAUCACUGGUAUUUCAGUAUUAUGUUGAAUAUGAGUCUUAAAGGACAAUAGCCCUGUGAGGUUUCUGCAUGGGACUGCUAGUUAGUGUAGUACAAUAUAGUUAAGCAGCUCAGAGAAAGGAAUUGCAAAUUUGUACAGUGAUACCAGUCCCAAUACCAAUGAUACCAGUCAAUGUGCAAAACAAUAAGGAGAUGCAUAUUAAGUUCUGUUUUGUGAUCUCAAAAUAUAAGCUAGUAGGCAGAUGCAUAACUUCAGUCAGUAUGAUUUGCAUAUUCUCCAGGGUACAUUUACUUCUUCCUUGUCUGUUACCUGUUAAACUAUUCCUAUAUUAAGUUAUUUUUAUUUUCUUAUCUGUACUUGCAUUGACAAUUUCUCCUGACAGCAAGACUUUAUUUUUCUUUGAAGAAUGCAGAUUAUUCACAUGUCAUUUAAGAGAAAGAAGAUCUUACUUCAAUCAGUGCACCUGCUUUUUAACACUGCUACUUUUUAUGGCUUAUGUUCUCAAUAUGCUGUUAUAAUCUGAAACUUAGUGAAACUAGGGACAUUAGAAAAAAGAUACGGUUUACAAUCAGAAUUUAAAUGUUAGACCUCAUCUAGCAAGUUGCCUUGUUGUACGUAAGAAAAUUAUAUCAGAAAGGGAAAAUUUUGUGAGUGUUGUUUCUGCUAGAGUUUUGUUCACUGUGAAGGUGAGUAAACAUUUCUGUUUGAGAAACUCAGAUGUGAAUUUGGCCAGUAGAAUUUGUAUUUCUCCAGAAGAAUUUGCACAGACAAGUGGAAAAAGAGGAUAUGGUUUCACAUAGACUGGUUUUCUUCUUUUAGACUCAAGUGUUAUAUAAAAAAAGAACAAAAGGCUGCAAAGUGAUCUAAGUUCCCUUUCUUCUGCUUCACCAACACAAAACUGAAACUUAAACCUAGGAGUAACUUUAAAUUUAUUUUUUAAGGGAGUUCAGUAUUUCAUUGUCAAUCUCUUUAAAAUAUUUAUAGAAAUAAUGGAGAAUUACACUCAUUUUUCUGAGGUUUAGUCUACAAAAUUUCAUCAAUUUCACAUAACAUUUUUUGUUUAAAGCACUUUUGACUAAAUUACUUAGAUUUUACUGGAUACUGCUGAGGUCUGUGACAGAAAAACCACUGACCUUGAUGGUGUGUCAGCUUCCUUUAAGGAAGGAGUGUCUAGCAGCACUGGCUACAUUGCAUUCUUCUGAUGCAGUAGGAAGGUGGAAUAUGAGCAAAUAUUAAAAGGCAUUAUGUGUUUCUGGCAGGUUGUGAACUGAGAUCAUCACAGUUUUUCUCAUGGUGUGAACCUCCAGAUAUUUGAUGAGGUCAUCAAAUCACAUUUAUUCAUUAACGAAUUCACCAUACCACUGGUGGUUUUUUUGCCAAGGAUGCAGACUUAACGUUAUAAAAGAUUUGGAGAAAACUCCCAUGGAUCUAACUCAAUUGCUGAUCAAUCAGCAAUGGUACAUCCUCUACAAAUAAGCAGGUGAUAAGCAGGGCUUUGUUGGGAUACAGGCCAUGCUUGUGGUAGGAUAUGAAGUUGUGUUUAGCAAUAUUCAUGGUGCCUUGAUACUCAAUCAUGCAAUAGCAAUCCUCACAGGGAUACCACUGCCAGUAAAGAAGAAAAACGACUUUUGGAAAUGUGUGCCUUACAACAAAAAAAAAUUCCAUGUAGACAUGUCACCUACCUUUCUUUAAUCCCAGCCUGCAAACUCCUUCAAAACAAUUUGCAGCAGUAUCCAUUCUUCCCAGGCACCUAUACAGAACCUGUGCUGACAUUACCACCAGCUGUGCCUGCAUGUCCUUAGCCUGCCCAAUUACGGCAUCCAACCAGCCAUGGACCCAACACCUCCCAGUCAGGUGCAGGAGGAAGACCAAGUUACGGUGAGAGCAUAUGAAACCCAAGAAAAAUUGCAGGAAAGAAUAGGUUAUGACUGAUUCUAGGGCUGAGGUGGUGAAGCAAUGAUUAGGACUACCAUUUAGGAUGCAUGUGUGUGUGACAGGAGGAUGGGAAUAAGGAAGGGGAAUACAAGCAUGGUUUCCACUGUGUCUAAUACAACACCUAAUAGCAGCUACUGACACCCAAGAAAGCUAGGUUUGGAAAAUGACAAUCUGUUCUGAAUUGCACUGUUUUAAUUAAUUUUGAUUUUUUGAUAUCUUCACUGGAACCUGUUUUGAUGAUGUUUUUUUAAUCCUCUGACUGGAAAGAUCUUGUUCUACUUCAUGUUAUAAAGGAGUGCUUAGACCUCAUUAUCUUGUAUUGGUAGGUUGGUUUGUUGCAGGAAUUCAAACAAUAGUGUUUGUUUAGCACAAAACUGGAGCACUUACUCAUACUGACAAUAUUGAAUUGGAUAACAUAGCUUAAAAAAAGCACUUCAGCAGCUUCUCAUCUGGUAGUGCUCCAAUGAGUUAGAGCCCUGUAAACUUUCUUAAUAAAAGUCCAUACUUUUUUCUUCCUUUUUUUUCCCCUUCAAAAAAGGCAGUGUAACUGCUGACAUAAUAGAUGCAAUGAGUAUUUGAUGAGUUUUGCUGCUUCUGUGCCAAAGUAGGGUUCUGAUAAUUCAGUUCACCAAAAAGAUGAGAACUUUAAAUUAUCUAGGUGUUUGUUCUAUAUCUGCUGAAUAAAUAUGCUGGUUUUGGCUGGUUUAGCCGGGUUUUGGUAGAAUAAAUUUUCUUCAUGAUACUUGGUAUGGGGCUGUGUUUUGGAUUUGUGCUGGAAGAAGUGUUGAUAACACAGAGACAUUCUUGUUAUUGCUGAGCUGCACUUGCAUAGCAUCAAGGCCUUUUCUGCCUCUCACCCCAAACCACUAGUGAGGAGGCUGCAGGGGCACAUGGACUUGUGAGGGGACACAGCCAGGACAGCUGACUACAGGAAUAUCCCAGACCACAUGGCAUCAUGUUCAGCAUAGAAGGCUGGAGGGAAGAAGAAGGGCAGCCUUUCGGACUGAUGAAAUUUGCCUUCCCAAGUCACAUUACCCAUGCUGAAGCCCUGCUUUCCUGGAGAUGGCUGAACAGCCACCUGCCCAUGGGACACUGACUGAAUUCCUUGUUUUGCUUUGCUUGUGUGCACAACCUUUGUUUUCCUUAUUAAACCAGCUUUGUCUAGA
Molecule: long non-coding RNA, 5305 nt
Organism: Passer domesticus (house sparrow)
Lineage: Eukaryota; Metazoa; Chordata; Aves; Passeriformes; Passeridae
Exons: 2
Source: RefSeq, a predicted model, not a curated record